Molecule: ribosomal RNA, 585 nt
Filed under: uncultured bacterium
Lineage: Bacteria
Description: bacterial SSU rRNA
Rfam family: Bacterial small subunit ribosomal RNA
Source: RNAcentral
CCUACGGGAGGCAGCAGUGGGGAAUUUUGGACAAUGGGCGCAAGCCUGAUCCAGCAAUGCCGCGUGAGUGAAGAAGGCCUUCGGGUUGUAAAGCUCUUUUGUCAGGGAAGAAACGGUGGGGGCUAAUAUCUCCUACUAAUGACGGUACCUGAAGAAUAAGCACCGGCUAACUACGUGCCAGCAGCCGCGGUAAUACGUAGGGUGCAAGCGUUAAUCGGAAUUACUGGGCGUAAAGCGUGCGCAGGCGGUUUUGUAAGUCUGUCGUGAAAGCCCCGGGCUCAACCUGGGAAUUGCGAUGGAGACUGCAAGGCUUGAAUCUGGCAGAGGGGGGUAGAAUUCCACGUGUAGCAGUGAAAUGCGUAGAGAUGUGGAGGAACACCGAUGGCGAAGGCAGCCCCCUGGGUCAAGGUUGACGCUCAUGCACGAAAGCGUGGGGAGCAAACAGGAUUAGAUACCCUGGUAGUCCACGCCCUAAACGAUGUCUACUAGUUGUCGGGUUUUAAUUAACUUGGUAACGCAGCUAACGCGUGAAGUAGACCGCCUGGGGAUACGGUGCAAGNUUAAAACUCAAAUGAAUUGACCGGU